Molecule: non-coding RNA, 2941 nt
Organism: Paramuricea clavata
Lineage: Eukaryota; Metazoa; Cnidaria; Anthozoa; Malacalcyonacea; Plexauridae
Source: the annotation of a GenBank genome assembly
AUUAAAAUUAAUUUGUUAGUUUUCUAUAUUUACAUGUAUUUCUUUUGCUUCAGUUCAACAUUAUUUUCAAAUAGUUCCACUUUGUAAUGGUGUGUUAUAAUAGUCAUAAUAAUAAUAUAAGCAAACAGGUUUACAUGGCACUCGAACAUGGUCUUUUCAGCGAGUAUGUAAAGGUAAGUUUAUACUUCAAAAAGGUCUGUUUUAACCUGACAAGAAUGCUGUUCAAAAUUAACUAAAAAUGAAAUUUCAUAUGUUCAAUCAACAACAGCUACUACUGUAUAUGUCUUUUGAUGUUUGUGUUUGGUUUGCUCAUAUUGAGACUAGAAAUUGAUGAAAAUGCAAUAUGAUAUUUUGUUUGUUGAGAGGGAUUCUAAGGAUUGUAUGGAAACUGAUUGUUCCUUGUGACGACUUGAGCAAAACUGUUUGUCUACUUUUGAAAUAACAAAGUAUACCAAAAACUUUUUUCCUGUUUUUUCAUUAUGCAAAGCCAUAAGCUCUUUUCCAAUUGAAAAUUUCUGUUUGGUUUUGACCAAAAUAAGUAAAAGUGUAAAAAGAAUAAGAAAAUAUUUUAUGAACAUUUGAAAGUUUGGUUCAACCAUAUUUUGUGUGUUUCUGUACAUCGCUACAUGUUUUGCGUCAGAAAAAUUUCCCGAAGCAUUUUUUGUAAAUGAUAUAAAUGUCAAAUGAUAUAAAACAGGACAAUUUUUUCCCUAAGUGAACUUUAGGAGAUGUUUGUUUGUAAAAUAGUGGAUCAAUGUGUAUUAUCUUGUUGUAUUUAUCGAUAGGACGAGAAAUGUACCAGUUUAAGCAAAGCAAAUUGAAACUGAAUUUUUGUUUGAAAAAUCAAUCAGAAUUGGAGAAAUAACAUUCUUUUAAAAUUUUGUUGUGAAACUGUAUUUUCAUCACUUUAAUUAGUAUUAACAUUAUAUAUAAUCAAUUCAAAGCUGUCAGGUUAAAAACGACUCUCAAAGAUAUAUGGCUCCGAAAGACCAGGAUAAUUUCAAAUUCUUAAAUAUUUCCUGGUUUGGCACUUGAAAGAAAUGUUCUUAUAUAUUAAUGUUCAAUUGAGUAUGGAACCAAUGAUCUAGUCGUAAUGUUUCGAUGUUUAAAAAUAUCAUUUCUGAGUUUAAUGAAGUAUGUUGUUAAAGAUGCGGUACAGUCCGAUCUUUGCAUGUGCACAAAGGAGCCCUCUUUUUAUUUACAAACCGUUUAUUUAGGUUUUUAUUUCAUUUUGUUCUUGCAAAGCUUGAUUGUUGUCUCUUGAUAAUUUAUUAUACUCUAGAAACAUGAAAAUAUAAAUAGUUGUCGAAUAAAAUUCAAUAUUUUGGAUAGCGAAAUGUAAACAAAGCCUUUGUUUACAUACGGACUGUACCGCAUCUUUAAUGCAUUGUGAAAAUGUUAAGGCACUUUGAGGAAAUUAAUUUGCUAAUUCAAGCAAUAGAAUUUGUUGACAACUGAUCUCGCAUUACAACGAAUGGACUUCUCUUAGCAUCUAAACAUCGCGAUGAUUUUCAUACUCAAGUGAACAUUUUGGUCACUUUACCAAAAACAAUUAGUUGUAUUAAAAAAAAGUAAAAGCAUGUUCGAUUGACUUUGUCUUUGAGCCAUAUAUUUUCCUUGUAAAACAACCUGGUGCGACGCUUUGGAUUUGUCGGUCAAAUUCGAAAAAAUUAUCAUUAGAGUUGUUUUACAAUAUUUAUUUUGAAGUAUAAACAUUUAUCUUGAAAAGACCAGGUUCUCUUGUUUCCUCAAGAAUUAACUUUUUAAUGUUAAUUUGCGGGCAAACAAGUUUUUUUAAUGUUGUGUUUUCACUUGUGCUUAUUCACUUGUGUUGAACACAAUGUUAGUUGUUCUCUUUGUGCCAUGUUCUGUUUUCUUCUAUUGUUAUUUAAAUACGUAUGCAGUGGUUGUUCUCUUUUUAUUGUUAUUCAAUUUGUAAUUACAUUCUUUUCAAUAAAUUGUUCAUUAAUUAUACAAGAGACUCCUUUUUAAUUAAAUAUUCAAUUCCCAUGGGAAUUGAAAAAAAAAAUAAAAAAAAUUUUCCCCACCCCGGCCGGCUCCCCAAGUGCCACCUCUACUUCUAGCAGAAGUACUUCUACUAUAUAGUAAAAGUACUUCUACUUAAAGUAGAGGUAGCACUCGGAGAGCCAGCCGGGGUAGCGAGGCGAAGAGAAGACCAACCUUGCAAAUGCAAAAUAAUGCAAAUUGCUAAGUCGAUCUUCUCUUGAGAGCAGCCACGCGCAUACCUGGCAAAUAAUGUAAAACAACAAGCAAUUAGUAACAAAUACUCGACAUGCAAAUUUUGAAUCCCAUGGCCGAAAUGACAAGUGCCCCCCACUGAUUCCUACCAACUGCCUACCUGCCUCAAUCCUAAGCUGUCUGCCUCAGUCCUAAGCUGUCUGCCUCAGUCCUAAGCUGUCUGCCUUGGUCCUAAGCUGCCUGCAUUCCAUUCGUAACUUCCGCUUUCCUCACAUCACACAGACACUCACAACUGCCCAACCUGCCACCAGCCCGAACUGCCCACCCUUAAAACUGAAGGAAUUAAAAUUUUGGCAAAGUAUACAUAAUUAAUUUAAUUUAAUCGGAUAUUUUAGGGCAAACGUAAACAGAUAAAUUAAAAGGUUGACAAAUCAGACGAAAGACCGCGUAUACAAACAGGUGAGUUUCUUACUUGCUUUUAUAUACAUGAAUAUACGAAACCUCAAAAUCCGGAUUUUUCCUUUUAUAUGCUUUACUAGCAGGCUAUAAUUUUUGUUUAAAUAACGAAACUCAACACAUUUUGCAGAUGUUAGGAAAUUAGUCAUUUGUCAAUGUUCAGAAAAAAAUAUUUUCUCUUUAAAUAUGCUCUCAAAAUUUUAAUUCCUUUAGUUUAGCCUAACCCCAUGCAUCCUAUACACACGGCGCACACUCUCGCACUCCAUACAUUUAGCUAAUAAAUUAC